Molecule: ribosomal RNA, 255 nt
Filed under: uncultured bacterium
Lineage: Bacteria
Description: partial 16S ribosomal RNA
Rfam family: Bacterial small subunit ribosomal RNA
Source: RNAcentral
CACGUAGGGGGCGAGCGUUGUCCGGAUUCAUUGGGCGUAAAGAGCUCGUAGGCGGCUCAGUAAGUCGGGUGUGAAACCCUCAGGCUCAACCUGGGGACGCCACUCGAUACUGCUGUGGCUAGAGUCCAGUAGAGGAGUGUGGAAUUCCCGGUGUAGCGGUGAAAUGCGCAGAUAUCGGGAGGAACACCGGUGGCGAAGGCGGUUCUCUGGGCCUGUACUGACGCUGAGGAACGAAAGCGUGGGGAGCGAACAGGA